Molecule: unclassified non-coding RNA, 575 nt
Filed under: Hevea brasiliensis (rubber tree)
Lineage: Eukaryota; Viridiplantae; Streptophyta; Magnoliopsida; Malpighiales; Euphorbiaceae
Source: RNAcentral
GCAGUUUGUUUUACAUUUUUGGUCUGAAAAACAAGUAGAACAACUCCAAAGUCAAAAGUGAGUUCAAAAUGCAAGUCUUUUAGGAUUCUACAAUUGCACUGACCUAAUGCUAAAAAAAUGCAGGAUUUCCACAAAGUUCAAAUAUCCUUAACUUGAAAUAAGAUGAUCAUGGAAGUCUAAUGGAUUUUAAAACGAAACAAUACUUAUGAUCUAAAUGCAUCAUGGAAACACAUAAUUCAAUGGAAGCAAAAACAGAAAUUAAGUUGCUAAAAUCAAAUAAAGCACACAGAUUUUGAAAAUGAAUCGAUUAAUAAAUAAGCUCAUCCUUCUGCAUAUCAUAUAAGCAAGUGAAACAUCAUCAAAAGCUAAACAUGUAAAACAAAUUUAGAUCUGGAAAAACUGUGGCAAAGAUCGGAAUUCUCAAAGAAAACGCAAUUGAAAUUCCAUUUUCCCAUUUGCCUCAUUAUUUUAGGAAUUAAAAACGAGCAAAAACAUCAACACUUACAAUCCAAAUUUCCAUAUAAAAAUAUAUAAAAACAGAAGGCCAAUAGAGCUAAUGUGAUUGAAAAUUCAAG